ACUACCGGAGCUCGCAGCCCGCUCCUCCCUCCGCCAUUGCCGCUGUCGGCCACCACUCCACACCGGCCGCCCGGUGAACCUCUCCAUCUGUUCUUUUCCUCGCCAGAGUGCCUGUGGCCGCGGGUCCCCGGUGAACCUCUCCAUCUGUUCUUUUCCUCGCCAGAGUGCCUGUGGCCGCGGGUCCCCUAGUCCGGCCGUCGCCAGUGCUCUCCGCCUUCUCACAUCGCCGUCGUCUCAGCCUCUCCCUGGCGCUGCUGUGGCACUUGGUGGACGCGACCCGUCUCCCCGAGCCCGCGCAUGGCUUCUCCCUGGCCGGAGACCGCCGUCACCGGCCGGUCUGUCGCCGGCUGUGCGCCCUCCCCUGCCCUGCUCUGUUCUCUAUCGGGGCGCAGCGAGGCGCAAGAAGGAGCCAGGUUAGGCGGGCCCCUCCUCCCCAGCAACCCCACGUGUUAGCGAGUGGACCCCCAGACCACGUUAAAAACGUAUUCAGCCGGAGGCGCUUUCUGUUUCAACCUCCAAGGGCCUGUGUGUGAAUACAACUUUUACAAAUUGGUCCCUGUUCUUCAAACACUCGUAUCUCAGCAACCCUAACUCUAAAUGAGCCCCCUCCGAGAGGGAAUCUUUUCCGACGAAUCAUUCUGCGAAUUCACCGCACUUCUUCUUGGAGUAUUCUUCAUCCCCAGGCAAGCCACGGCAACCAUUUGCAUGAGAGCCUUGCAGUAGUAUUUGUUUUCUACUUGAACAAUAAAAUAUUUUGUGCAUGCUACUAUUUUGUGAGUGCUUUAUUUAUGCUUGUGAAUACAUGCUUAUCUUUAUGCCAUGAUCAUUUUCACCUAUUGGGUUAAAUGAGUACUUGCUAAUAUUAUCAUGCUCUAUUCUGGUAUUUAUUGUUGAUACUAGUGGUCAUGCCAUGCUCAUGUGUAGUGUUAUACUUGUGCUCGGUAUGCCAUGCUCAUCUUCAGCUAGUAGAGUAAAUAAUUUAUUGUU
This is a long non-coding RNA of Aegilops tauschii subsp. strangulata, 987 nucleotides long. RefSeq lists it as uncharacterized. NCBI's taxonomy places the organism in Eukaryota, Viridiplantae, Streptophyta, Magnoliopsida, Poales, Poaceae. The record is from RefSeq and is a predicted model, not a curated record.